GUGCAGAGCCCCGAGGGAGGAGGUGCCUGGCUUGCUCAGACAGUAAGGAGGCAAGUGCUGAAGGACGGACCACUCUCUGGAGUCAAGCACAGGGCAACGAGCGUCAAAGAGGACAAUGAGCCUCGGCAUUCAAACAGGAAGGUCGUUGCUUCGCGCCUCCGGGAGACCUGCUGCUGCUGGAUGAGGAAGACGCCAGACGGCUCUGCUGUGUGGGUUGCAGACCCUGCCGGCCAGCUACGGAAUGGUUACCCAGCCAGACAGCGAGACCCUGAUAACCCUGCCACACGCAAACUCAUUUAGCAAAGCAUUGCAAUGGGCCAUCGCUGUGGCACGUGGACUGAUGGAUUGCACAGCCGUUAUUGUGUGCUUACAAGGGAAAUUAGGAGUAAUUAAUGGGCUGGGGAUCAAUAGCAGUACUAUAGUGCAGUGAACGAUUUAAUUUUCUUUCUGAGUUAAGAAGGAAGCGCAAAGAGCUCACAUAGAAUAGAUGGGUCAGAGUCAUAGACAUGAACUACUAAAUUGCAUGGUUUAUAUAAAAGUUUUAAUUGUUAGCUUUGAAUUUACUUUUUGAAAAAGUAAUGCAUGCACAUGGUCACUCAGUACAAAAUGGUAUAAAAUGCUUACUCUCAGAGGCAA
This is a long non-coding RNA of Diceros bicornis minor, 636 nucleotides long. RefSeq lists it as uncharacterized. The record is from RefSeq and is a predicted model, not a curated record. The transcript is spliced from 2 exons. NCBI's taxonomy places the organism in Eukaryota, Metazoa, Chordata, Mammalia, Perissodactyla, Rhinocerotidae.